This 3468-nucleotide ribosomal RNA is filed under the name Triticum aestivum (bread wheat). Its description in RNAcentral is "partial small subunit ribosomal RNA". Lineage: Eukaryota; Viridiplantae; Streptophyta; Magnoliopsida; Poales; Poaceae. The record is from RNAcentral.
GAGGAGAAAGGGAGUGGCGGCGGCGACGGUUCAGUUCGGUGCGGGUAGGUGGUGUCGGCAGCGAGCGCGGUACCGGCUCCCCUCGAGCUCGAGAAGAGGCCGAACUAGGAGCGGCAUCGGCAGAGGAAGAAGGUGCCCCUGCAGCAGAGGCAGCAGGUGCAGCGCAGGUGCUCGGAGCCUAGCUGGAGGGGCUGCUGGAGAAGAAGCCAAGAAGGAGACGAAGUGCCUGCGGUUCGGCCUCCGGCGAAGAGCCGCGGCUAGAGAGGAAGAAGAAGGAGCCCAGAUGGAGCGGCGGCCGAUUUAAGCAGCGCAGGGGCUCGAGCUAGCUGAGGAGGCUCGGGGAGAUGCACUCGUCGGUGCGAAGGGACAUGGAAAAAAGACCAACUAGUGGAGGAGACAGCGACCAACGAACGUACAGACUGUCAAGGAGGCGGUAGUGAAACCAGUGGCCGUUCCAACGGUACGAAGGAGACAAAGAAGUCGUGUGUGCGUCGCGGGGUAGACGUCGAGCGCGCGAAGGUGGUCCCGGACGGAUCGAAGAACAAGCAGCAUCGAGAGACGGGGCUCAGCUCGAGGUCGAGCACGGGCUCGCGUGCGUGCGUGUGCUGAGGCCGUUCUUCGUAGGCGCGCGAGCGCGUGGGCUCGUGGUGAGGAGACGUGCGUGACGGCGUACGGAGCGGGUCGCGAACGUGCGUGUUGUGGCUCCGAACCGGCGGUACUGGCUUUCGGAACUCGAGCACGACGUGGGCGGCAACGAGGCGCGGGCGCGUGUGCGUCGUCGUGGGUAGGUGACAAAGGCGUGGUGGCGGCCGAGUGGUGUCGUCGUCGACGGCGACGCAAACGAGCGGCCACUACGUAGGCACAUAAGCGACCUCUUCUUCUGAUCCGGAAGACUAGUAAGUUUUGCUCGACUCGAAGGGAAACGGCGGUUUGUAUCGUCGUAGAGUCACCAGAUCCGGUGCGUUAUGAUGUCCCCUCGGGGCUCUAGCUUGGAGGUGUCGACGCGUAAGAAAAAGGACGUUAAAACGUGGAAGUCUGAAACACUCGAAGAACGACGAAGUAGUCGACGGUUUGGGUAAGUCGUAGUACAUAGGUAAGAUCAAGUUGACCAAUUAGUGUGUCCGUAUGUACGUCCUCCAGGAACCAAGCUCAGGGUCCGUCGGGUUUAAAACGGAGAAUAAAUAGAAAACGUGUGGUGUGUCGGUCUGCGAGCCCGUACCGGGCUAAGACGACGACGACAACGGAACGCGUGUCUCGCGAGAUAUAGAUAGAUGGCGAGCGGCCACAUCGGGCACAUCGAGGUCAAAGUCGGGUAAAUCUAUAAAAGGGACAAGACCAAAAAAAAGGAUUUAUAGGUCACGUACGCAUAAAUGUCGUUUACGGUAGUAAAAUUUUACGAGUGUUGAUUUACAGGUACGUAGGUAUAUUUUGUACAAUAUAUACAUUGAACGAAUCUUAAAACGGAUCAAAGUAUUAUAUGGUGAAAGUAGGUACAAAUUUUACAGAUUUACACGACAAACUUGAUUAAACGUAUUUAUAGUACAAUUUUAUGAAAUAAAGUAUUGAUUUAUUGGCAUCGAGGUAAAAUUUAUUUGAAAUAUACAUUUACCCCAUCUUUUUACGUAUCUAAUUGAACUACGUGAAAUAAAACGACAAAUUGUUGUAAUUUUAACAAAUAUCCCGUCUUGUCAUGGUUUAGAUUUUAUACCUGUACUCCUAAAAGGCCUUAACAACAAACAACAAGGCCGGAGUAAAUAUGAACGCAUUUAUCAAUUAAAUGAAUACGAAGUGGAAAACGGUACAAAUUGUUGUAAAUUAUAACAACCCAUGUAUUGGUUCUCUCUUGAUUUAUUAGCAUACACCACAAAGCAGUUAUACGUUGAGCAACGUAUAACUCGAGGUGAAUUAAACAUCACAACAAACAACGUAAACGGUACGGUACUUAGUAAUUUGGCCUGUACGUAGUAUGAACUAACACGUAGUACGGUACAAAUACACUACCAACAAAUGGUACAACAAACAAAGAAAGGCCCAAACGGAGAAUAAAUAGAAAACGUGUGGUGUGUCGGUCUGGGAGCCCGAACCGGGCUAAGACGACGACGACAACGGAACGCGUGUCUCGCGAGAUAUAGAUAGAUGGCGAGCGGCCACAUGGGCACAUCGAGGUCAAAGUCGGGUAAAUCUAAAAAAGGGACAAGACCAAAAAAAGGAUGUAUAGGUCACGUACGUAUAAAUGUCGUUUACGGUAGUAAAAUUUUACGAGUGUUGAUUUACAGGUACGUAGGUAUAUUUUGUACAAUAUAUACAUUGAACGAAUCUUAAAACGGAUCAAAGUAUUAUAUGGUGAAAGUAGGUACAAAUUUUACAGAUUUACACGACAAACUUAAUUAAACGUAUUUAUCGUACAAUUUUAUGAAAUAAAGUAUUGAUUUGUUGGCAUCGAGGUAAAAUUUAUUUGAAAUAUACAUUUACCCCAUCUUUUUACGUAUCUAAUUGAACUACGUGAAAUAAAACGACAAAUUGUUGUAAUUUUAACACAUAUCCCGUCUUGUCAUGGUUUAGAUUUUAUACCUGUACUCCUAAAAGGCCUUAACAACAAACAACAAGGCUGGAGUAAAUAUGAACGCAUUUAUCAAUUAAAUGAAUACGAAGUGGAAAACGGUACAAAUUGUUGUAAAUUAUAACAACCCAUGUAUUGGUUCUCUCUUGAUUUAUUAGCAUACACCACAAAGCAGUUAUACGUUGAGCAACGUAUAACUCGAGGUGAAUUAAACAUCACAACAAACAACGUAAACGGUACGGUACUUAGUAAUUUGGCCUGUACGUAGUAUGAACUAACACGUAGUGCGGUACAAAUACACUACCAACAAAUGAUACAACAAACAAAGAAAGGCCCAACGAAGAGAGCAAUGGAAGCCAAAGCAAGGCCCCAACACUCCUAAGCAAGCUGAUGUAGGCAAACAGAAGAAGUACCUGAGCAAGAAGAAGGAUCGCCCUAAAGUCAACGUCCACGGCUGCUAUGGUCACGUCCACUACGAUGGCCUGGGUUCACCCUCAAGCUGCUCCUUGAACCAACAAUGAUACAAAGCAAAGGACUACUAGUCAUCACCUCGGGUCAACCCUGCUAGCCCCUAGAUCGUAAACCCCAACACAAGAAAGAAAACCAAGGCAUCAGCCUGGAUACACACAUGAGACCAACUACAUACUAAAUAAAUACAUAACACACUUCACCGCUAACAUUCGGUUGAGAGAUAGGGUAAGAACAAGUAAUGUACCCUAACACACUUCUACUGGGAAGAACGCUGUUUUGGUGUUACGCCAAUACGGAGAUUCAGCACGGAGCUGUGCACCCUCUAUAUCGGCGUAGCACCCGCAAUGUUCAACCAUUAGUCUCGGUAGGGGCUGAAUCCUCGGGGGACGAACUAGCUUAGCGACUGCAACAACUCAGAUCUUGUUUUUACAAAACGC